UUUUUAUCAAAUAAAAACACUAAAAUUUAGAGAUAUUGUUGACUUUAAAACUGCACAAAUUAUGUACAAAGUAAAUAAUCAACAGCUAUUGAACAGUAUCCAAGGGUUGUUUCAAAUGAGAGAGAGCAAACAUCACUUAAGACGAACUUUUGUAUUUCAAAGGAAACUUAUAAGAACAAAAGCUAAAUAUCACUGCAUCACAACCAAAGGAGUUCAUUUAUGGAACAGCUGCAGUGAAGAGAAGAAAUCAUGUACAACAAUGAGCAAUUUUAAGAGACUAUUUAAAAUGAAUAUAUUAAAUGGAUACGAAAAGGACUU
Molecule: long non-coding RNA, 318 nt
Organism: Sander lucioperca (pikeperch)
Lineage: Eukaryota; Metazoa; Chordata; Actinopteri; Perciformes; Percidae
Exons: 3
Source: RefSeq, a predicted model, not a curated record